This 970-nucleotide ribosomal RNA is filed under the name Lactobacillus sp. Amsbbr24. Its description in RNAcentral is "bacterial SSU rRNA". It matches the Rfam family "Bacterial small subunit ribosomal RNA", at positions 48 to 985 of the family's 1533-position model. The record is from RNAcentral. Lineage: Bacteria; Bacillati; Bacillota; Bacilli; Lactobacillales; Lactobacillaceae.
GCUAUACAUGCAGUCGAGCGAGCAAUUUUAACGGAAUACUUCGGUAGGAAGUUAAGAGCGCGAGCGGCGGAUGGGUGAGUAACACGUGGGCAACCUGCCCUUUAGCUUGGGAUACCACUUGGAAACAGGUGCUAAUACCAAAUAAGAAGCGAGAGCGCAUGCUCAAGCAGUAAAAGGCGGCUUUCGAGCUGUCACUAAAGGAUGGGCCCGCGGUGCAUUAGCUAGUUGGUAAGGUAACGGCCUACCAAGGCGAUGAUGCAUAGCCGAGUUGAGAGACUGACCGGCCACAUUGGGACUGAGACACGGCCCAAACUCCUACGGGAGGCAGCAGUAGGGAAUCUUCCACAAUGGACGCAAGUCUGAUGGAGCAACGCCGCGUGAGUGAAGAAGGUUUUCGGAUCGUAAAGCUCUGUUGUUGGUGAAGAAGGACAAGGGUAGUAACUGAUCUUUGUUUGACGGUAAUCAACCAGAAAGUCACGGCUAACUACGUGCCAGCAGCCGCGGUAAUACGUAGGUGGCAAGCGUUGUCCGGAUUUAUUGGGCGUAAAGCGAACGCAGGCGGGAAGAUAAGUCAGCUGUGAAAGCCCCCAGCUUAACUGGGGAACUGCAGCUGAAACUAUGUUUCUUGAGUGCAGAAGAGGAGAGUGGAACUCCAUGUGUAGCGGUGGAAUGCGUAGAUAUAUGGAAGAACACCAGUGGCGAAGGCGGCUCUCUGGUCUGUAACUGACGCUGAGGUUCGAAAGCAUGGGUAGCGAACAGGAUUAGAUACCCUGGUAGUCCAUGCCGUAAACGAUGAGUGCUAAGUGUUGGGAGGUUUCCGCCUCUCAGUGCUGCAGCUAACGCAUUAAGCACUCCGCCUGGGGAGUACGACCGCAAGGUUAAAACUCAAAGGAAUUGACGGGGGCCCGCACAAGCGGUGGAGCAUGUGGUUUAAUUCGAAGCAACGCGAAGAACCUUACCAGGUCUUGAC